GCUUCAGUUGCUUAAUGGUAAAAGCGUUAAUUUGAAGCAUUAAAGAAGUGAGUUCAAUUCUCUCCUGAGGCA
Trametes pubescens is the source of this 72-nucleotide transfer RNA. It matches the Rfam family "tRNA". Rfam says of the family: Transfer RNA (tRNA) molecules are approximately 80 nucleotides in length. Their secondary structure includes four short double-helical elements and three loops (D, anti-codon, and T loops). Lineage: Eukaryota; Fungi; Basidiomycota; Agaricomycetes; Polyporales; Polyporaceae. The record is from Rfam.